RNAcentral lists this ribosomal RNA (208 nucleotides) under uncultured bacterium. RNAcentral describes it as "partial 16S ribosomal RNA". It matches the Rfam family "Bacterial small subunit ribosomal RNA", at positions 568 to 775 of the family's 1533-position model. The record is from RNAcentral.
UGUGUAGGUGGCAAGGUAAGUUAGGUGUGAAAUCCUCGGGCUUAACCUGAGAAUUGCGCUUAAUACUGCCUAGCUAGAGUACUGCAGAGGGUAGUGGAAUUUCCAGUGUAGCAAUGAAAUGCGUAGAUAUUGGAAGGAACACCAGUGGCGAAGGCGACUACCUGGAUAGAUACUGACACUGAGACACGAAAGCGUGGGUAGCAAACAG